UACGUAGGUGGCAAGCGUUGUCCGGAUUUAUUGGGUUUAAAGGGUGCGUAGGCGGCUUUGUAAGUCAGUGGUGAAAUAUGGCAGCUUAACUGUCAAGGUGCCAUUGAUACUGCAGAGCUUGAGUACAGAUGAGGUAGGCGGAAUUGACGGUGUAGCGGUGAAAUGCGCAGAUAUCGGGAGGAACACCUAUGGCGAAAGCAGGUUUCUGGGCCAUCACUGACGCUGAUCUGCGAAAGCUAGGGGAGCAAACAGG
This 253-nucleotide ribosomal RNA is filed under the name uncultured bacterium. Its description in RNAcentral is "partial 16S ribosomal RNA". It matches the Rfam family "Bacterial small subunit ribosomal RNA", at positions 524 to 776 of the family's 1533-position model. The record is from RNAcentral.